GAUGAACGCUAGCUACAGGCUUAACACAUGCAAGUCGAGGGGAAACGACAUCGAAAGCUUGCUUUUGAUGGGCGUCGACCGGCGCACGGGUGAGUAACGCGUAUCCAACCUGCCCAUCACUUGGGGAUAACCUUGCGAAAGUAAGACUAAUACCCAAUGAUAUCUCUAGAAGACAUCUGAAAGAGAUUAAAGAUUUAUCGGUGAUGGAUGGGGAUGCGUCUGAUUAGCUUGUUGGCGGGGUAACGGCCCACCAAGGCAACGAUCAGUAGGGGUUCUGAGAGGAAGGUCCCCCACAUUGGAACUGAGACACGGUCCAAACUCCUACGGGAGGCAGCAGUGAGGAAUAUUGGUUAAUGGGCGAGAGCCUGAACCAGCCAAGUAGCGUGCAGGAAGACGGCCCUAUGGGUUGUAAACUGCUUUUAUAAGGGAAUAAAGUGAGAGUCGUGACUCUUUUUGUAUGUACCUUAUGAAUAAGGACCGGCUAAUUCCGUG
RNAcentral lists this ribosomal RNA (492 nucleotides) under uncultured bacterium. RNAcentral's name for it is "partial 16S ribosomal RNA". It matches the Rfam family "Bacterial small subunit ribosomal RNA", at positions 28 to 507 of the family's 1533-position model. The record is from RNAcentral.